CAGUGAAAUCUUACUCUUAUAUCUGGAGUUUCUGUUCUUUGCUAGCCCAAGGUGUUCUGAUAUUUUUAGGCUACAUUCUUAAUGUUCAGUUUCAGAGUAAUUUUUUUGAUGCAGUCAAGCAUCCAAGAUGUCAGAGUAGACUUUUUUUAGGUUUAACAGACGGAAUGAAAUCUUUUCAGUUAUUUGCUUAGGGUUGCAUGUUCUGAAUGUGUGUAACUUAUUACCUGUUCCAUUAUAACAUUACCAUAAUGUUUUUGUAACAUCCCUUUUCUAAUUAUUUUAAUAACAAGCUCCAUGCAGGGAUAUUUCUGUAUUUAUGACCUUUUAUGUAAGCGGGGAUCUCUGCAGUUGCAGGAAGUGAGUCUUGUGUGCUAUUAAUGAAAUAGUCUGAUGAGACCGUAUUUCUCAUAUUGACAAGCUAUUGCUCUAGUAUAAAAUCUUGGAUGUGAUAAAGGAAUUGGUGUGGUUCAUUUAAAUGUUUUAUCUGCUGUAGUUAACUAUGAAAUACUUCAAAUGUAUGGUAUUGAAUCUGAAGAAAAAUUUUUUAUUAGUUGCAUUUUUAUUUAUUUAUUGGUGGAAGCACUCUGAUUCUCUGCUAGCGUUUCACCAUUGUUGAUGGAUUUUAAUCUGGAUUGCUGUUACUCUAUGCCUGAUCUUUAUGUACGAUGUCACAUUUGUGGUCACAUGAAGUAUUUUUCCAUCUACUAAAGGUGGAUAACAUACAGAAGGAACAUGUAGACUUUUUUCCAACUGCUGUUUUCAGUCAGUUAAAUCAGGCUGGCUGCACUUCCUCACCAUGUGUCAGCAGCAGCUGCACUGCAGCAUCAGUCCCUGUGACAGAUGGAGCUGGUGUCUCCCUGUGAAAUGGUAGCAUGAGCUUUCUAUUGUUUACAACUGGCUUCACAAUGUUAAUAUUUUUGGUGGCCUGGAGCAUUGCUUCUGAAAAGCUGCCAGCUCUAACCAGACCUACCACUCAGCAGUCUCUACUGAUGUGCCAGUUGGUGGCAUGCUUCCCCUCUGCUAUCGCUUGCUUCAGACUCGACCAGAACGGUUGCUUGCUCUGGACCCACGAGGGCAAUAUCUCCAUAAAGCAGUGUCCGUGGGGCUUGAAGGAAGUGGGAGAGUGAUGAGAGAACACCUGCUUCAAAUGAGGUCUGGAGGUGCCAGUCCCUCUCUGCUUGUUUGAAAUGAGUGGGAAGUGUUUGGCCCUCUUAGCAGUGAAAAGCAUAUUCGGUUGUUUGUUUUGUUUUAUUAACAUGGAAGAAGUUAAUUAAGCUUUCAUCAUUUUUUAAAGUAGGAUCCAGCAUGACUGUUUGUUGGUUUGCACUGUGUUAUCCUGGAUGAAUAGGUUAGACAAUGGCACCUGAAAUACUUAAAUAUGAAGAGCUUUAAUUAUGCUGGCUCUGGCAUAGCAAAAAGCCUUAUAAUUGUUCUCUAAAGUCUAAAACAUGGUCUUACAUUGCAAAUUUCAUAUACAUUUAUGGAAAGUAUCAUCUUUAGCUUGUGAUCCACCUCUGUCACUAACUGAAUAAAUACAUAUCUUAUGCUAGUA
Long non-coding RNA from Alligator mississippiensis (American alligator), 1552 nucleotides. RefSeq lists it as uncharacterized. The transcript is spliced from 2 exons. Lineage: Eukaryota; Metazoa; Chordata; Crocodylia; Alligatoridae. The record is from RefSeq and is a predicted model, not a curated record.